AGAUAAUAGAUACCCUGGUAGUCCCAGCUGUAAACGAUGCAGACUCGGUGAUGAAAUUGGCUUAUUGCUAAAUUCAGUGCCGCAGGGAAGCCGUUAAGUUUGCCGCCUGGGGAGUACGGUCGCAAGACUGAAACUUAAAGGAAUUGGCGGGGAGCACCACAAGGGGUGAAGCCUGCGGUUCAAUUGGAGUCAACGCCGGAAAUCUUACCGGGGGCGACAGCAGAGUGAAGGUCAAGCUGAAGACUUUACCAGACAAGCUGAGAGGAGGUGCAUGGCCGUCGCCAGCUCGUGCCGUGAGGUGUCCUGUUAAGUCAGGUAACGAGCGAGAUCCCUGCCUCUAGUUGCUACCAUUAUCUCAGGAUAGUGGAGCUAAUUAGAGGGACCGCCGUCGCUGAGACGGAGGAAGUGGGGGGC
RNAcentral lists this ribosomal RNA (414 nucleotides) under uncultured bacterium. RNAcentral describes it as "bacterial SSU rRNA". It matches the Rfam family "Archaeal small subunit ribosomal RNA", at positions 725 to 1136 of the family's 1478-position model. The record is from RNAcentral.